AGGAUGCUGCCCGAAUUGAAUUGGUCAGCAGCGGCAAGUCGUUCCUA
Molecule: small RNA, 47 nt
Filed under: Sinorhizobium meliloti 2011
Lineage: Bacteria; Pseudomonadati; Pseudomonadota; Alphaproteobacteria; Hyphomicrobiales; Rhizobiaceae
Description: putative ncRNA
Source: RNAcentral